This 497-nucleotide ribosomal RNA is filed under the name uncultured bacterium. Its description in RNAcentral is "partial 16S ribosomal RNA". It matches the Rfam family "Bacterial small subunit ribosomal RNA", at positions 28 to 507 of the family's 1533-position model. The record is from RNAcentral.
GAUGAACGCUGGCGGCGUGCCUAAUACAUGCAAGUCGAGCGAACGGACGAGAAGCUUGCUUCUCUGAUGUUAGCGGCGGACGGGUGAGUAACACGUGGAUAACCUACCUAUAAGACUGGGAUAACUUCGGGAAACCGGAGCUAAUACCGGAUAAUAUUUUGAACCGCAUGGUUCAAAAGUGAAAGACGGUCUUGCUGUCACUUAUAGAUGGAUCCGCGCUGCAUUAGCUAGUUGGUAAGGUAACGGCUUACCAAGGCAACGAUGCAUAGCCGACCUGAGAGGCGGAUCGGCCACACUGGAACUGAGACACGGUCCAGAGUACUACGGGAGGCAGCAGUAGGGAAUCUUACGCAAUGGGCGAAAGCCUGACGGAGCAACGCCGCGUGAGUGAUGAAGGUCUUCGGAUCGUAAAACUCUGUUAUUAGGGAAGAACAUAUGUGUAAGUAACUGUGCACAUCUUGACGGUACCUAAUCAGAAAGCCACGGCUAACUACGUG